RNAcentral lists this ribosomal RNA (468 nucleotides) under uncultured bacterium. RNAcentral describes it as "partial 16S ribosomal RNA". It matches the Rfam family "Bacterial small subunit ribosomal RNA", at positions 28 to 507 of the family's 1533-position model. The record is from RNAcentral.
GACGAACGCUGGCGGCGUGCUUAACACAUGCAAGUCGAACGGAAAGGCCCUGCUUUUGUGGGGUGCUCGAGUGGCGAACGGGUGAGUAACACGUGAGUAACCUGCCCUUGACUUUGGGAUAACUUCAGGAAACUGGGGCUAAUACCGGAUAGGAGCUCCUGCUGCAUGGUGGGGGUUGGAAAGUUUCGGCGGUUGGGGAUGGACUCGCGGCUUAUCAUCUUGUUGGUGGGGUAGUGGCUUACCAAGGCUUUGACGGGUAGCCGGCCUGAGAGGGUGACCGGCCACAUUGGGACUGAGAGACGGCCCAGACUCCUACGGGAGGCAGCAGUGGGGAAUAUUGCACAAUGGGCGGAAGCCUGAUGCAGCAACGCCGCGUGCGGGAUGACGGCCUUCGGGUUGUAAACCGCUUUCGCCUGUGACGAAGCGUGAGUGACGGUAAUGGGUAAAGAAGCACCGGCUAACUACGUG